UAUAUGCCACAGGGGAGCGAAAGCUGAGAAAGGUUAAGACCUGACCCUCAAUACCUGAUCUGGGUAAUACCAGCGAAGGGAGUGAUUCACGUUUUGAU
Molecule: non-coding RNA, 98 nt
Filed under: Desulforamulus putei
Lineage: Bacteria; Bacillati; Bacillota; Clostridia; Eubacteriales; Peptococcaceae
Description: Desulfotomaculum putei TPP sequence
Rfam family: TPP riboswitch aptamer (THI element)
About the family: Vitamin B(1) in its active form thiamin pyrophosphate (TPP) is an essential coenzyme that is synthesised by coupling of pyrimidine and thiazole moieties in bacteria. The previously detected thiamin-regulatory element, thi box was extended, resulting in a new, highly conserved RNA secondary structure, the THI element, which is widely distributed in eubacteria and also occurs in some archaea. Analysis of operon structures identified a large number of new candidate thiamin-regulated genes, mostly transporters, in various prokaryotic organisms.
Source: RNAcentral